RNAcentral lists this ribosomal RNA (482 nucleotides) under uncultured bacterium. RNAcentral's name for it is "partial 16S ribosomal RNA". It matches the Rfam family "Bacterial small subunit ribosomal RNA", at positions 28 to 523 of the family's 1533-position model. The record is from RNAcentral.
GACGAACGCUGGAGGCGUGCUUAACACAUGCAAGUCGAACGAUGAAAUGGAGCUUGCUCCAUGGAUUAGUGGCGAACGGGUGAGUAACACGUGAAUAACCUGCCCUUAAUUUUGGAAUAACCCAGGGAAACCUGGGCUAAUACCGGAUAAGUAAACCUGUGGCAUCACAUGGUUUUGGAAAGUUUUUCGAUUAAGGAUGGAUUCGCGGCCUAUCAGCUUGUUGGUGAGGUAAUGGCUCACCAAGGCGAUGACGGGUAGCCGGCCUGAGAGGGUGAACGGCCACACUGGGACUGAGACACGGCCCAGACUCCUACGGGAGGCAGCAGUGGGGAAUAUUGCGCAAUGGACGAAAGUCUGACGCAGCGACGCCUCGUGAGGGACGAAGGUCUUCGGAUUGUAAACCUCUUUCAGCAGGGACGAAGCGAAAGUGACGGUACCUGCAGAAGAAGCACCGGCUAACUAUGUGCCAGCAGCCGCGGUAA